CCCUACUAUGCUUAAGCCAUAAAUUAGACAGCACAUCACACUGUCCGCCAGAGGACUACAAGCAACAGCUUAAAACUCAAAGGACUUGACGGUGUCCCACACCAGCCUAGAGGAGCCUGUCCACUAACCCGACACCACCCGUUAUACCCAACCUCCCCUUGCAAGCCCAGCCUAUAUACCGCCGUCGUCAGUCUACCUUACGAAAGCACUAGUAGACAAAAAAUUUCCCCCACUAACACGUCAGGUCGAGGUGUAGCUAAUGAGGCGGUCACGAUGGGCUACAUUUUCCUAACAGGACCAUACGAAUGGUAAUAUGAAUAUAUUACCUGAAGGCGGAUUUAGCAGUAAAGCAACAAAAAUACAUGCCUUAACCACGCCCUGGGACGCGUACACACCGCCCGUCACCCUCUUCACACGGUUCUACUAACAAAUACAUAAUAAUUAAAUCACCAUCUAGAAGAGAUAAGUCGUA
RNAcentral lists this ribosomal RNA (472 nucleotides) under Amphisbaena fuliginosa. RNAcentral describes it as "partial 12S small subunit ribosomal RNA". The stretch from base 51 to 472 matches the Rfam family "Bacterial small subunit ribosomal RNA", at positions 875 to 1490 of the family's 1533-position model. Lineage: Eukaryota; Metazoa; Chordata; Lepidosauria; Squamata; Amphisbaenidae. The record is from RNAcentral.